RNAcentral lists this ribosomal RNA (743 nucleotides) under uncultured bacterium. RNAcentral describes it as "bacterial SSU rRNA". It matches the Rfam family "Bacterial small subunit ribosomal RNA", at positions 8 to 796 of the family's 1533-position model. The record is from RNAcentral.
AGAGUUUGAUCCUGGCUCAGGGUGAAUGCUGGCGGCGUGGAUAGGGCAUGCAAGUCAAGGGGGCCGCAAGGCAACUGGCAGACGAGAUAGUAACGCGUAGGAACGUACCCAGAAGUCGAGCACAGCUCGCCGAAAGGCGGGGUAAUUCUCGAUAGUCUCGCAAGAGUAAAGAUUUAUCGCUUCUGGAGCGGCCUGCGUUGUAUCAGCUAGUUGGUGAGGUAAUUGCUCACCAAGGCUAUGACGCAUAGGGGGGCUGAGAGGCCGAUCCCCAUCGAUGGAAUUGAGAUACGGUCCAUACUCCUACGGGAGGCUGCAGUCGAGAAUAUUCGACAAUGGGCGAAAGCCUGAUCGAGCGACGCCGCGUGGUGGAUGAAGUCCUUCGGGACGUAAACAUCUUUUAUGAGGGAGGAAGUAAUUGACGUUACCUCAUGAAUAAGGGGCUCCUAACUCUGUGCCAGCAGGAGCGGUAAUACAGAGGCCCCGAGCAUUACCCGGAAUCAUUGGGCGUAAAGGGUGUGUAGGUGGUUGUGUUAGUCGUUUGUCAAAUCCCGGGGCUUAACUCCGGAACUGCGGGCGAAACGGCACAACUCGAGGACGUGAGGGGUGAAUGGAACUCUAGGUGUAGGGGUGAAAUCCGUUGAUAUCUAGGGGAACACCGAAAGCGAAAGCAAUUCACUGGCACGUUUCUGACACUGAAACACGAAAGCGUGGGUAGCGAACGGGAUUAGAUACCCUGGUAGUCG